GUUUGAUCCUGGCUCAGAUUGAACGCUGGCGGCAUGCCUUACACAUGCAAGUCGAACGGCAGCACGGGGGCAACCCUGGUGGCGAGUGGCGAACGGGUGAGUAAUACAUCGGAACGUGUCCUGUAGUGGGGGAUAGCCCGGCGAAAGCCGGAUUAAUACCGCAUACGAUCUACGGAAGAAAGCGGGGGAUCCUUCGGGACCUCGCGCUAUAGGGGCGGCCGAUGGCAGAUUAGCUAGUUGGUGGGGUAAAGGCCUACCAAGGCGACGAUCUGUAGCUGGUCUGAGAGGACGACCAGCCACACUGGGACUGAGACACGGCCCAGACUCCUACGGGAGGCAGCAGUGGGGAAUUUUGGACAAUGGGGGCAACCCUGAUCCAGCAAUGCCGCGUGUGUGAAGAAGGCCUUCGGGUUGUAAAGCACUUUUGUCCGGAAAGAAAACCUCUUGGUUAAUACCUGAGGGGGAUGACGGUACCGGAAGAAUAAGCACCGGCUAACUACGUGCCAGCAGCCGCGGUAAUA
RNAcentral lists this ribosomal RNA (521 nucleotides) under uncultured bacterium. RNAcentral describes it as "bacterial SSU rRNA". It matches the Rfam family "Bacterial small subunit ribosomal RNA", at positions 11 to 525 of the family's 1533-position model. The record is from RNAcentral.